CACACAAGGCACUUGAGCA
RNAcentral lists this non-coding RNA (19 nucleotides) under Mus musculus (house mouse). The record is from RNAcentral. Lineage: Eukaryota; Metazoa; Chordata; Mammalia; Rodentia; Muridae.